Molecule: ribosomal RNA, 1086 nt
Filed under: Triticum aestivum (bread wheat)
Lineage: Eukaryota; Viridiplantae; Streptophyta; Magnoliopsida; Poales; Poaceae
Description: partial small subunit ribosomal RNA
Source: RNAcentral
AUGGCGUCCUCUCCGCUGCUCGUGGCGCUUGUGAUGGUCUCGGCGUGCUUCCUGGCCGUAUCCGGCCAGAAGUUCAACGCCAUCUACAGCUUCGGCGACUCCAUGUCCGACACCGGCAACCUCUGCGUCAACGGCCCCCCCGCCGGCCUCACCCUCACCCAGCCCCCCUACGGCGAGACCUUCUUCGGCCGCGCCACCUGCCGCUGCUCCGACGGCCGCCUCGUCGUCGACUUCCUCGCCGAGAAGUUCGGGCUGCCGCUGCUGAAGCCGUCGAAGCAGGGCGGCGCGAACUUCAAGCAGGGCGCCAACAUGGCCAUCAUCGGCGCCACCGCCAUGGGCUCCAGCUUCUUCCAGUCACUCGGCGUCGGCGACAAGAUCUGGAACAACGGGCCCCUCGACAGCCAGAUCCAGUGGUUCCAGAACCUCCUCCCCUCCGUCUGCGGCUCAUCGUGCAAGACGUACCUGUCCAAGUCCCUGUUCGUGCUGGGCGAGCUGGGCGGGAACGACUACAACGCGCAGCUCUUCGGCGGCUACACGCCGGAGCAGGCGGCCGGGCAGAGCCCCACCAUCGUGGACGCCAUCGGCGCCGGCGCCGAGAAGCUCAUCGGGCUGGGCGCCAUGUACGUCGUUAUCCCCGGGGUGCUCCCCGUCGGCUGCUUCCCCAUCUACCUCACGCUCUACCAGACCUCCAACGCCGGCGACUACGACCAGUACGGCUGCCUCAAGCGGUUCAACGCGCUGUCGGCCCGACACAACUCGCUGCUCCAGAGCAAGGUGAGCAGCCUGCAGAGCAAGUACCCCUACGCCAAGAUCAUGUACGCCGACUUCUACUCCCACGUCUUCGACAUGGUCAAGAGCCCCACCAGCUACGGGUUCAGCACGAACCUGAGGGCGUGCUGCGGCGCCGGCGGCGGCAAGUACAACUACCAGAACGGCGCCAGGUGCGGCAUGUCCGGCGCGUCGGCGUGCGGCAACCCGUCGUCGUCGCUGAGCUGGGACGGGAUCCACCUGACGGAGGCGGCCUACAAGAAGAUCGCCGACGGCUGGGUCAACGGGCCCUACUGCCACCCGGCCAUCCUCUCCUAG